Non-coding RNA from Triticum aestivum (bread wheat), 115 nucleotides. NCBI's taxonomy places the organism in Eukaryota, Viridiplantae, Streptophyta, Magnoliopsida, Poales, Poaceae. The record is from Rfam.
CAUAUACUCCCUCCGUUCCGAAUUACUUGUCGCACGUAUGUAUGUAUCUAGAUGUAUUUUUGUUCUAGAUACGUCCAUUUCGGCGACGAGUAAUUUGAAACAGAGGAAGUAUAUA